UACGGAGGGUGCAAGCGUUAUCCGGAUUCACUGGGUUUAAAGGGUGCGUAGGUGGGUUGGUAAGUCAGUGGUGAAAUCUCCAGGCUUAACUUGGAAACUGCCAUUGAUACUAUCAAUCUUGAAUACCGUGGAGGUCAGCGGAAUAUGUCAUGUAGCGGUGAAAUGCUUAGAUAUGACAUAGAACACCAAUUGCGAAGGCAGCUGGCUACACGAAUAUUGACACUGAUGCACGAAAGCGUGGGGAUCAAACAGG
This 253-nucleotide ribosomal RNA is filed under the name Terrimonas sp. Its description in RNAcentral is "partial 16S ribosomal RNA". It matches the Rfam family "Bacterial small subunit ribosomal RNA", at positions 524 to 776 of the family's 1533-position model. The record is from RNAcentral. RNAcentral also lists the same sequence under 3 other names. Lineage: Bacteria; Pseudomonadati; Bacteroidota; Chitinophagia; Chitinophagales; Chitinophagaceae.